This 62-nucleotide microRNA precursor is filed under the name Dasypus novemcinctus (nine-banded armadillo). Its description in RNAcentral is "miRNA (ENSDNOG00000046606.1)". Lineage: Eukaryota; Metazoa; Chordata; Mammalia; Cingulata; Dasypodidae. The record is from RNAcentral.
GGCCUCCUAAAGGAAGGCAGUAUGGUGCUGUGGAAAGAGCACUGGACUUGGAGUCUGAAGAC